Molecule: small RNA, 53 nt
Organism: Rhodobacteraceae bacterium SB2
Lineage: Bacteria; Pseudomonadati; Pseudomonadota; Alphaproteobacteria; Rhodobacterales; Paracoccaceae
Rfam family: Mu-gpT-DE RNA
Source: Rfam
CCCUGACAGUUGCAUGGUGCGACUGACAUUUGCCAAGACAGGAGAUCUAAAUG